GAGCCACAACCCAGCCCCCAGAGAACUUCAAUUCUUAACCUUGAUAUUAUACUUUUCUGACUCCUCUCAGCUUUACAAACUGGGAUUCUUAGACCCAUUUUACAAGUGCAGAAAAACUUGGAGGGGUUACAUAGUGAGUAAGGUCAUAGAGUAAAUGACAUGGCCAAGAUUCAAAUCCAAAUCUGUCUCACUCCUUGUUUGUACCACUAGGCUGGCAGCCUCCCCAGUGGGAACUUCCUAAGACUUUCUCCCCCUAGCAAUUUGGCUCUCUACGAAAUAUUACUAUACGGAACCCAAAUAGGGCAUUAAAUUUCUAGUAAUUGAGGUAUUGCUUCUGCCAAUGCCCAUGAACAUUCUGAGAACUGAUCUGUUUCUUUAUAGGAAAAAGUUGGAUGUUUCAUGGCAAAGAAUUAAAUUGGCCCUCAUUCAAAAUCUGCCCUGUUAAUGUGAUAUAGCAAGAAGUACCCUAACCUGAGAUAAGAAAUUUAGGUUCUUAUCCCAACUCUGCCACUAACUUGCCAUGUAAUCACAGGCAAGGUAUUUAUAUAUUCCAGAUUCAGUUUCCUCUUCCAUAAAAUAGGGAUAAUAAUUCCAAUCUUGUUUUCCUCACUAGAUUGUUAUAAAUAUCAAAUGAGAUGAUAUUGGAAAGCAUUUAUUUAUUCAUUGAGUGGUUGGUUAUCAUAUUACUAUUGUUUAGUAAUAUGAGGGUAUUUGCCACCAAAAGCUCACUAUCUGUUAAUGUUUGUUGAGAUUCACUUUAGCUCCUGCUCUAGGACUUACAGUUGAGCUCCAGCUGACAUUUGGGCCCACAUCUUAGGCACUGUAAGACCAGAAAAUAAUUAAAGAUCUACACAGGAGAUGCUUGUGUCUGAAUUUAUUUCCUGGUUUGAAAGAACUGAUGCAGGUUUGAAAGGUGCCUAUUGAAAAACAGAAAACACAGGCCAGAUUUGUUCAAUCACUAGAGAUUUCUCCAAAAUUCUGAGACACUGGUAUUUCAGUGGUUUCCCAACCAUUCUUACCUGAACAGAUUUUAAGAAGCAUCUCUUUCCCCACCUGAAAAAUGAGGGGAGUAGAUUAAAUUAGUGUUUUCCAAAGAAUGCUCCAG
This 1105-nucleotide long non-coding RNA is filed under the name Marmota monax (woodchuck). Lineage: Eukaryota; Metazoa; Chordata; Mammalia; Rodentia; Sciuridae. The record is from RNAcentral.